This 629-nucleotide long non-coding RNA is filed under the name Homo sapiens (human). RNAcentral describes it as "HSALNT0157661". The record is from RNAcentral. Lineage: Eukaryota; Metazoa; Chordata; Mammalia; Primates; Hominidae.
ACUGGAAAGAUGGCUCCUAUCUAUUCCAAAUAACUCCAAUAUCGCCUCAAGUGAAGAGGAAAGCCUCAUAUUUCAAGGCCACUGACUGGAACCCAUUCACAUGCCACAGGGAGACGGAUGCCGUUGUUUUUUUUACGGCAAAGGAAACAGUGAUGUAUUGGAGUCUCAUCACCCCGUCUCUCCAUCAUCACAAGCCAGUCUGGCUUGUGUAGCACGAUUAAAAUGUUAUGUCUCCCAGUGAGCUAGUAAAUAUCAACACUUUCUCUCUUUCUGUAUGUGUGUCCCUUUUUAGUGGAUAAAGCCAUUUGUUGACAAAAGUAUGGACAUUCUUAUGGGAUUGUUUUUGGAAAAGGAUAACAUGUAAUUUCAAAUUCAACAUAUGGUAGUGGUCAAAUUGUGUUCCUACUGUGGAAAAUGCUUGAAUAAUAACCUACUGCAUUCUCUUGGCCAGUACACAGAGCACAACUUGAUGAAUUUCACCAGUUUCCCUUCAUCUCCUCCUUUGGCUCCCAUCCCAUUCUGCAAGAGCUGAUAAAUCUCAUAUCCCCUGAAGAUUAUUACAGUUCCUAAUAGUCUUAUGACAUCAGAAGGAAGCCAGGCUCAGUGGCACAAAAUACAUCUAACAAAUG